GUCGAGCGAUGGAUUAGAGCUUGCUCUUAUGAAGUUAGCGGCGGACGGGUGAGUAACACGUGGGUAACCUGCCCAUAAGACUGGGAUAACUCCGGGAAACCGGGGCUAAUACCGGAUAACAUUUUGAACCGCAUGGUUCGAAAUUGAAAGGCGGCUUCGGCUGUCACUUAUGGAUGGACCCGCGUCGCAUUAGCUAGUUGGGAGGUAACGGCUCACCAAGGCGACGAUGCGUAGCCGACCUGAGAGGGUGAUCGGGACACUGGGACUGAUACACGGCCUACACUCCUAUGGGAGGCGCAGUAGGGAUCUUCCGCAAUGUAAAAAGGUGACGGAGACCGGGCGUGAUUGUUACGUUUCGGCCAAAUCUC
Molecule: ribosomal RNA, 368 nt
Filed under: Bacillus cereus
Lineage: Bacteria; Bacillati; Bacillota; Bacilli; Caryophanales; Bacillaceae
Description: bacterial SSU rRNA
Rfam family: Bacterial small subunit ribosomal RNA
Source: RNAcentral